This is a regulatory RNA element of Clostridium tyrobutyricum DIVETGP, 130 nucleotides long. It matches the Rfam family "Ribosomal protein L10 leader". Rfam says of the family: This family is a putative r-protein leader autoregulatory structure found in B. subtilis and other low-GC Gram-positive bacteria. It is located in the 5' untranslated regions of mRNAs encoding ribosomal proteins L10 and L12 (rplJ-rplL). A Rho-independent transcription terminator structure that is probably involved in regulation is included at the 3' end. The record is from Rfam. NCBI's taxonomy places the organism in Bacteria, Bacillati, Bacillota, Clostridia, Eubacteriales, Clostridiaceae.
ACAAAUAAGUAAAAUAUUCCAUAGACAGUAGGUGCAAAAGCAUAACAGUUAAUCUAACCUACCGAGGAUUCCAAUAUAAGAAAGUAAUUGGUCUCUCUUUGUCUAUGAGGAGACCUUUAAUUUUUAUAUA